Molecule: ribosomal RNA, 454 nt
Filed under: uncultured bacterium
Lineage: Bacteria
Description: partial 16S ribosomal RNA
Rfam family: Bacterial small subunit ribosomal RNA
Source: RNAcentral
GAUGAACGCUGACAGAAUGCUUAACACAUGCAAGUCAACUUGAACUUCGGUUUGGGUGGCGGACGGGUGAGUAACGCGUAAAGAACUUGCCUCACAGUUAGGGACAACAUUUGGAAACGAAUGCUAAUACCUGAUAUUAUGAUUUUAGGGCAUCCUAGAAUUAUGAAAGCUAUAUGCGCUGUGAGAGAGCUUUGCGUCCCAUUAGCUAGUUGGAGAGGUAACGGCUCACCAAGGCGAUGAUGGGUAGCCGGCCUGAGAGGAUGAACGGCCACAAGGGGACUGAGACACGGCCCUUACUCCUACGGGAGGCAGCAGUGGGGAAUAUUGGACAAUGGACCAAGAGUCUGAUCCAGCAAUUCUGUGUGCACGAUGAAGUUUUUCGGAAUGUAAAGUGCUUUCAGUUGGGAAGAAAAAAAUGACGGUACCAACAGAAGAAGUGACGGCUAAAUACGUG